AGACCUAUAAAUAUUGCCGGACAAUACAAUCUACAGAUUAAAAUCCAAAGAAUUUGGCGGUGUUUUAUACUAUCAGGGGAACCUGUCCCUUAAAUCGAUAUUCCACGAAACCUAAACCAAUCUUGAAUAUCAGCUUGUGUACUGCUGUCGUCAGUAAACCUCUAAAAGAUAGUUUACAGCAUUAAUAAUAAUUAAUUACGUCAAGUCAAAGUGCAGCUUAUAGACUGGUGAAGAUGGGUU
RNAcentral lists this ribosomal RNA (240 nucleotides) under Christensenidrilus blocki. RNAcentral describes it as "partial small subunit ribosomal RNA". It matches the Rfam family "Bacterial small subunit ribosomal RNA", at positions 875 to 1226 of the family's 1533-position model. The record is from RNAcentral. Lineage: Eukaryota; Metazoa; Annelida; Clitellata; Enchytraeida; Enchytraeidae.